Molecule: ribosomal RNA, 497 nt
Filed under: uncultured bacterium
Lineage: Bacteria
Description: partial 16S ribosomal RNA
Rfam family: Bacterial small subunit ribosomal RNA
Source: RNAcentral
GAUGAACGCUGGCGGCGUGCCUAAUACAUGCAAGUCGAGCGAACAGACGAGGAGCUUGCUCCUCUGACGUUAGCGGCGGACGGGUGAGUAACACGUGGAUAACCUACCUAUAAGACUGGGAUAACUUCGGGAAACCGGAGCUAAUACCGGAUAAUAUAUUGAACCGCAUGGUUCAAUAGUGAAAGACGGUUUUGCUGUCACUUAUAGAUGGAUCCGCGCCGCAUUAGCUAGUUGGUAAGGUAACGGCUUACCAAGGCAACGAUGCGUAGCCGACCUGAGAGGGUGAUCGGCCACACUGGAACUGAGACACGGUCCAGACGCCUACGGGAGGCAGCAGUAGGGAAUCUUCCGCAAUGGGCGAAAGCCUGACGGAGCAACGCAGCGUGAGUGAUGAAGGUAUUCGGAUCGUAAAACUCUGUUAUUAGGGAAGAACAAAUGUGUAAGUAACUAUGCACGUCUUGACGGUACAUAAUCAGAAAGCCACGGCUAACUACGUG